CCCGGAGUAGCUCAGUUGGUAGAGCAGGUGGCUGUUAACCACUUUGUGGGGGGUUCGAGCCCCUCCUCCGAGC
Molecule: transfer RNA, 73 nt
Filed under: Fidelibacterota bacterium
Lineage: Bacteria; Pseudomonadati; Fidelibacterota
Description: Candidatus Marinimicrobia bacterium tRNA-Asn
Rfam family: tRNA
About the family: Transfer RNA (tRNA) molecules are approximately 80 nucleotides in length. Their secondary structure includes four short double-helical elements and three loops (D, anti-codon, and T loops). Further hydrogen bonds mediate the characteristic L-shaped molecular structure. tRNAs have two regions of fundamental functional importance: the anti-codon, which is responsible for specific mRNA codon recognition, and the 3' end, to which the tRNAs corresponding amino acid is attached (by aminoacyl-tRNA synthetases). tRNAs cope with the degeneracy of the genetic code in two manners: having more than one tRNA (with a specific anti-codon) for a particular amino acid; and 'wobble' base-pairing, i.e. permitting non-standard base-pairing at the 3rd anti-codon position.
Source: RNAcentral